RNAcentral lists this ribosomal RNA (471 nucleotides) under uncultured bacterium. Its description in RNAcentral is "partial 16S ribosomal RNA". It matches the Rfam family "Bacterial small subunit ribosomal RNA", at positions 28 to 507 of the family's 1533-position model. The record is from RNAcentral.
GACGAACGCUGGCGGCGUGCUUAACACAUGCAAGUCGAACGGAAAGGCCCUGCUUGCAGGGUGCUCGAGUGGCGAACGGGUGAGUAACACGUGGGUGAUCUGCCCCUUACUUUGGGAUAAGCCUGGGAAACUGGGUCUAAUACUGGAUAGGACCAUGCUGUAGGUGGUGUGGUGGAAAGAUUUUUUCGGUAAGGGAUGAGCUCGCGGCCUAUCAGCUUGUUGGUGGGGUAAUGGCCUACCAAGGCGUCGACGGGUAGCCGGCCUGAGAGGGUGGACGGCCACAUUGGGACUGAGAUACGGCCCAGACUCCUACGGGAGGCAGCAGUGGGGAAUAUUGCACAAUGGGCGCAAGCCUGAUGCAGCGACGCCGCGCGGGGGAUGACGGCCUUCGGGUUGUAAACUCCUUUCAGCCAUGACGAAGCCUCUUUUGGGGUGACGGUAGUGGUAGAAGAAGCACCGGCUAACUACGUG